GGGAGUGUUAUCGUUCCCCACAAGUGACGUCAUGUCACCUCCUGCUGCCGUGUGACGUCACGAGAUAACAGGAAGCUGCUGUUCCGCCCGUGCACUGAAAUUCGAGGUUUUUAUUUUUUACCAGGCCACGCCCGCGUUGAGCUGCUGUACCGUUCUUGUUUUCAGAAGCGACCUGCCCACAAUAACAACAAGCUGUCGCUUCCUCUGCAGAAUUUGUCUGAUGGAGCAAAGGCACUCGGCGCGGCUCGGUGCAAAAAGGCAACAAUGCGACCGGCGUGCAAACAGCACGGAUCGUACUGGAGAUUUGACACGGCCCCAGAGAAUACACACUGGAGAGAAACCCUUCAAGUGCAGUGUGUGUGGGAAGGCGUUUGCACGUUCAUCUGCUCUUAAAAAACACCAGAAAACACACACGGAAGAGAAACCCUUCAAGUGCAGUGUGUGUGGGAAGGC
Petromyzon marinus (sea lamprey) is the source of this 453-nucleotide non-coding RNA. The record is from RefSeq and is a predicted model, not a curated record. Lineage: Eukaryota; Metazoa; Chordata; Hyperoartia; Petromyzontiformes; Petromyzontidae.